GACGAACGCUGGCGGCGUGCUUUACACAUGCAAGUCGAACGGAAAAGCCCUGCUUUUGUGGGGUGCUCGAGUGGCGAACGGGUGAGUAACACGUGAGUAACCUGCCCUUGACUUUGGGAUAACUUCAGGAAACUGGGGCUAAUACCGGAUAGGAGCUCCUGCUGCAUGGUGGGGGUUGGAAAGUUUCGGCGGUUGGGGAUGGACUCGCGGCUUAUCAGCUUGUUGGUGGGGUAGUGGCUUACCAAGGCUUUGACGGGUAGCCGGCCUGAGAGGGUGACCGGCCACAUUGGGACUGAGAUACGGCCCAGACUCCUACGGGAGGCAGCAGUGGGGAAUAUUGCACAAUGGGCGGAAGCCUGAUGCAGCAACGCCGCGUGCGGGAUGACGGCCUUCGGGUUGUAAACCGCUUUCGCCUGUGACGAAGCGUGAGUGACGGUAAUGGGUAAAGAAGCACCGGCUAACUACGUG
This 468-nucleotide ribosomal RNA is filed under the name uncultured bacterium. RNAcentral describes it as "partial 16S ribosomal RNA". It matches the Rfam family "Bacterial small subunit ribosomal RNA", at positions 28 to 507 of the family's 1533-position model. The record is from RNAcentral.